AGGGUUCGAUCAUGGCUCAGGACGAACGCUGGCGGCGUGCCUAACACAUGCAAGUCGAGCGGAGCCAUCCGGACAAUCCCUUCGGGGUGCGUUUGGGGAAGCUUAGCGGCGGACGGGUGAGUAACGCGUGAGUAACCUGCCCAUAAGAGGGGGAUAACACAGAGAAAUUUGUGCUAAUACCGCAUAUUGAUAUCGAGCGGCAUCGUUUGAUAUUGAAAGAUUUAUCGCUUAUGGAUGGACUCGCGUCUGAUUAGAUAGUUGGCAGGGUAACGGCCUACCAAGUCGACGAUCAGUAGCCGAACUGAGAGGUUGAUCGGCCACAUUGGGACUGAGACACGGCCCAG
Molecule: ribosomal RNA, 344 nt
Filed under: uncultured bacterium
Lineage: Bacteria
Description: bacterial SSU rRNA
Rfam family: Bacterial small subunit ribosomal RNA
Source: RNAcentral